Podarcis lilfordi (Lilford's wall lizard) is the source of this 75-nucleotide non-coding RNA. Lineage: Eukaryota; Metazoa; Chordata; Lepidosauria; Squamata; Lacertidae. The record is from the annotation of a GenBank genome assembly.
AUACUCAGAAAGCUCAGUGGAUUAGAGCGUGGUGCUGAUAACGCCAAGGUUGCAGGUUCGAUCCCUGCGUGUAUA